This 11405-nucleotide long non-coding RNA is filed under the name Lotus japonicus. RNAcentral's name for it is "long non-coding RNA (LJAP_LNC000160)". Lineage: Eukaryota; Viridiplantae; Streptophyta; Magnoliopsida; Fabales; Fabaceae. The record is from RNAcentral.
UGCCUUGGAAUUUCUCACGGUGGUCGGCUUCAGCGAAGAUGUUAUAUUUGACAAUCUUGGGAAGGCAGAAGCAUACUUGGUGCUGAAGCGGAAUGAUCCUGGCUUAUUGUGGCUAGCUAAGUCCACCCUUGAAUCAAGCUGAACUUGGUAGCUCCGAAAACAGUUCUGAAAGACAAAGCAAUAUUAUAUGUGGAAGUAUACUGUAUAUAGAUGUCCAUUGUAUGUGUAUGCGCUGAGGAAAGAACAUUUUGUAUUGUCAUUUACGUGCCAAAUAGGUGGUAUUCAACAUAGAAAUAUUUUUGGGGAAGCAAAAGGACUACAUCUGAUGUGGAAAUAUAACAGUUGCUCAUUGUACAAUGCUAGAUGUCAUUCUCUUGUCUUUUGGUGAUUGUGAAUAAACUAGUUAAUAAAUAACACAUGAACUGCUUUAGUGCCUGUUAUGUUAACGGUUGGCAUUUGAGAAAUCACAUUUUUUUACAAGACAGAUUGUGGCAUUUGGCUGCACUUAUCGACGGUGGGAAAGAUCUCUUUGCCAUUGCUCUUCUCCCCUCCCCAUACUCUUGUCCAGGUAGCGCCGGAGAGACACACUACUUUUGAAAUUUCCUUCAUUAAAAGUUCUGCCUGUCACAAGUGGUGCUUCACCAUUGCUGGUGCCUAGAUAUGACAAUCAAACUUGAACAUGCAGUAACUCUAAGCCUGAUCCCGACUCUGAUGGAAAAUUUCGUAUCAUAUAAAAAUAUAAAAACAAAAAGGUGUUGGGCCUAAAGGAGAUUUUAUAAAAAAAAAAAGGACAAAAGUAAUAUAUUUUAGCAUAUGCGCCUAUUUAUUUUAGCAUGCGCCUAUGUCAUAACCAUAAAACUAUAUUUUUAGAAGAAAACCAAAUUAAAAACACCAAUAAAAUAACAUUUAUAAAUGAGUUAGCCUCCCUAGUCCUUAAAUAUUGUAUGUGUCGUAUCAUAUUCUCUUUUGGGUGCAGUUUUCAUUGAUCACCCAAAUUGUAUGAGUUCUUGUAUUUUUCAGUUUAUUAUAUAAAUUAUAAAAUAAAGCUAUGUCGAUCUCGCUACGAGCAGAGUCUAGUGGCGGUAUCGCUUAGAAUAACCGAGUUGGAGACAUGAGUUAGGUAGAGGAGAUUCAAGGAUUUAUGUGUAAUUUAUCUUUUCGAUGUAUAAAAAAAAGAGUGUAACGGCGGUGCGAGAGGAGAACACAAGUUCUUACACCACUCAGCUCAGCUCAAACUAAAUUCCCUUUUCCCUUCCAAUUCCUCAAUCGGAAUCCAAACCAAAAUGCGGUUCAUCGACCACGGCAUGGACCUCGACCUGGACCUGGACCUUGACCUCUCUGAUUUCGGUUCGUCGGUGCCGCUCAAGAAGGUCCCUAACGGCGACAUCUUCUCCGCGUCCCGUGCGGGUGACGUGGACCGCCUCCGGUACCUUCUCGAGUCCGGCGUCGACGUCAACGCCCGCGACCAGUGGGACUCCGUCGCCCUCUACUACGCUUGCCUCGCCGGCCACCUCGACGCCGCCCGCAUGCUCCUCGAGAGCGGCGCCAUCUGCUCCGAACACACUUUCGACGGUGACCGUUGCCACUACGCCGCUCUCAACUUGAAGGUCCGUAAACUCCUCAAGGCCUUUGAAGCUCGCCCUCCUCCCUUGGACCCCUUGCCCUCCUCCUUGCGUCUCACCUUCUUGUCCUGCCCCGCUAACUCCUCUGCCUCUCCAUUUCCCAGUAUGAUCCUAACUCUUUCGGUUAGUUAGUUAGUUAUUACUGUUGAGUUUUCAGUUAUGACAGUUAUGAUUUCGUUACAUUCUGUUUUUCAGUUUUGUUUAUCGCAGUUUAGUUUCUGUUAGUUAGUUAGUUAAAUUACAUUCUGCUUUUCAGUUUUGUUUAUCUUUUUCAUUGUUAAACCAUUCAUGUGAUUAAGUUUUCAGGAUAGUAAGUGUCUGUUUGGUUUUCAGUUAGGAAGUCUGUUUGAAGCAUUGGAAUUCGAAAUCGCGAUUUCCAAUGCACAUUCAACCAACGGAAUGCACUUGUUGGGUUGAGUGAAUGUGCUUUCACAUUCACCCAAUUGAAAACCAAACAGGCUCUUAGUUCAUGAUAUGGUAUCAGUGUCUCCAUGAUUGGCGGUCUGGAGUUCGAUCAUGGCCUAAAUUACUCUUGUAAAUAGUUAAAUUUCAGAUGGGCAUUGUCCUUUCUAGAGCCAAUUUGGCAUUUAGUGACGAAGCUUGUACUAGGGCUUCCAUACGUACUAAGACCAAUGGGAUCUUGUGAGAAGCGUGUUAGAAAUAUAAUAUGAAAUCGUUCACGUGUAGACCCAAGGGAUUGAGCUUUCAGGAUAGUUAGUUCAUGAUAUGGUAUGGUAUCAGAGUUUCCAUGACUGGUAGUCUAGAGUUCGAUCAUUGCCUUGAUUAGUCUUGUAAAUAGUUAAAUUUUUAGCACGAGUAGGUGAGGGCGUGCAUUGUCCUUGCAAGAGCCAAUUUGGCAUCUAGUGACGAAGCUUGUACUAAGGCUUCCAAACAUACUAAGAGAAUCUCCAAUGCUUGGUACCUUUGUUGGUAUCUUAUCACUCUUUUUGUGGGCCUGAAAUGCCACAUAGGAUAUUAGGUACCCAUAAGGCACUGAUGCACAUUUUGCUCCAACGCAAGGAAAUUUAAGAUAUGGGAUCUGAAGAUAAGAUCCAGCCCUAAGGUACUGCAUUGGAGAUGCUCUAAGACCAAUGGAUCUUAUGUGAGGGGUGUGUUAAAACUAUAAUAUAAAAUCAUUCACAUGUCUUUAAGCUAUUGGUUCGUCACAUAUAUUGUAUAUAAGACAAAGUAAAUGAAUGAAACAUAAUUUCAUUUUCUCCCAAUGAUAAUAAUAAUUGAAUUGAGUAUUAUAUUUACAGGUAUUUCAUCCACUCAAGGGUCAAGUGGCUGCAGCCACUUUCCUCCUGAUGUGGUUUUCACCGUGCAAGGAGAACCUAUUGAAGCUCACAGAGUCAUAUUAAGUGCAAGGUCACCAUAUUUCAAGAAAAAGUUCGAGACUGAUUGGAAAGAGCGCAGCGAGGUUAGAUUCUCGCGGGAGAAGUUGUCAUAUCCCGCGCUUUAUAGCCUCGUACACUUCUUCUAUUCAGACAGGUUGGAGAUUGCUGUGGAUGACAUGGAAGAUCUUGUGAGAAUAUGCAAAGUGUGCAAAUGCGAAUCACUAAGGAGUGUUCUUGAGAAAGAAAUAGUUCAUCAAAAGUAUGCGGAUUAUAAAGCUCUGCGAGAUGUGGACAAUUCUCAGAAACGGUAUAUUUUGCAGGGCCUGUCCCUUCCUGAAGAAGACAGGCUUCCUNNNNNNNNNNNNNNNNNNNNNNNNNNNNNNNNNNNNNNNNNNNNNNNNNNNNNNNNNNNNNNNNNNNNNNNNNNNNNNNNNNNNNNNNNNNNNNNNNNNNNNNNNNNNNNNNNNNNNNGUCCCUCUCAUAAAGAAGACGGGCUCCUCGCAGCCUUGCGUCGAAUCUUUCUACCCGCCCUUUCAAAUUCCAGCCAUGAAAAUGGUCAAGAUGAUGGAAUUGAUAAUGCGGUAUCUAGGAUGGGUGCCAUGCAGAUGGAUGAUGAUCUUGCUGAUGUUUGUGUGAGAGUCGACAGGAAAAUUUUCCGUUGCCAUAAAGUUAUUCUAGCUUCAAGGUCAGAAUAUUUUAAAGCAAGGCUGUCUCGUAUGGAGGAUUUCCAUGAAGGGAAAGAUGCCUUAUCUGUUGACUUCCUUCCUUGUAUUGAGGAACAUGACUUGAGCACGGAAGCAUUUGAGAAAAUGAUUGAAUAUAUGUAAGUCUCUUCUCUUGACGGCGAAAUUUAGAAAUUGAAAAUAUUGCAGGGAUUUUAUAUGACAUUAAUUAACUAGUGAACUUGAGACCAUUUGGCUAAUCAGCAUCUCUGUGUUAUUCUGUAGAUUCUGACAGACCUUAUUUGUAAUGAUUGCAAUGAAGAUAUUCUUUCUUACCCUUCAGAUAUGUGUUUAUAUUUGGGGGAAAAGCUUUGCCUAUUUACUGUACUAGUAGUUAUACUCGUGCAGUGCAAGGGUGCUUAAGCAUGAUUUGGUGAUUCUUUUUUAGUAUUAAUGAUUGUCUAUGUCAGGUUGACGAAACUCAGCUAAUUGUUCCAUGGUAGUAAAAUUCUUUUCAAAUUGAUACAUUCUUGAGUACUUUUCUGUUUGUGUGGUUCCAAUUUGCAAGAUUGAGUAAAACCUAUUUAAAUUGCCUGUUUAUGCAUGAUUGUUUUUGUAGUAGGUGAUUUUUCCUGUUGUUUUAUACUUUUUUGCCCAUUUUUAGUUUCUGUAGCAUGUUCCUGUCAUAAUGCCUUCAGCAUGAUGAAGUUUCUGGGAUAAUAUAAGUGUACCUGUUCAUCAAUUUUCUGCUGCAAAUAUGAUUUUCGUGAAUUUUAUUCUGCCUCCUUUGUUGGUUCAGGUACACCGAUGCUUUACAGGAUAUAAAUCCAGAUCAGGUUUUUUAUAUCUCUAUAUAGAUUUCUGUAAAAAUGGUUUUCUUUCUGUUGUCAAACAUUUGAUUUAUAUAUUGUUAACAGGCUGAGGAGAUGUUGGAUGUUGCUUCUAGAUACUUACUGUUUCCUCUUAAGCGUGCGGUAGCUGAUGUCUUGUUGCCACACUUGGAAAUGGUGUCGCCUGAGGAGCUUUGCCACUGGUUAAUGCUAGCGGACAUGUAUUUUUCUUUUCUGCUUGUCUCCCUCCUUCAUUUUACAUUGAUGGCUGCAAUUAAUGUUGUUUCUUUCUGUACUCUUGGGGAGGGAUAGGGAACGGAUUCUUCCUUCACAUGUUUAUUUUGUUUUCUUAUUAUGUUUAUAUAGUUGUCUCAAUGCUUUUUAAUACUCAUGCUUUAAUGAUUGUGUUUAAACUUGUAUAGACUACACUAUGUUAGUCGAGCUUACUACUUGAGUAAGUACUUAUUUAAGGUGUUUAUCCAAAGAGGUUACUCGAAUGUCUACUGGUAAUUGAUCUCAAGAAGACUUUAGUAUUUCCUAUUUGAUCUAGAAUUCAGAUGCACAAUUAGUUGGAUGAGAAAUUUAAAAGAGAAGACCAAGGAGGAUGCAAGAAAGAUCAUCAAUAUUCUUUGGAAAUAAUUAAUGCACAAGUUUUAGGAAGAAUAUCACUCUUCCAAAAGAACUGAAUAGUUAUAGAGGAUUUUUUUGGCUUACCCUUAAUUCUCUCAUCACUGCUCAAAUUGACAUUAACAAAGUGUUGGACAAGGCGAUAAUGUUUUUGUUCAAUGAUUCCCAACUCCUACCUGCAAAGUAUUGUAGAUCCUGUUGUGGUGAAUUACAUAUGUUCCUUAUUUUCCGGCAUGAUGAUUGGUCUUUGUUCUCAUUAGUUCAUCUAAUAUGGUACCAGAUUAUAUUCUUGUUUUAUCUGUAUUUCUAUUUAAAAUUUGUUCAUAUCCAGGUAUGGUGUUUUCAAGAUUCGGGAAUAUUGUUUAGACACCGUUGCUUGUAAUUUUGAAACAUUUGCUGAUACUAAAGAAUUCCGGGCAAUGCUGUUGACUCUGCCUCCACCAUCAGGCGACUCAUCUCUUCGUACCACUGUUCCAAGCAUUCCUGGAUCUGCUCUAAAUACUGAUCAAGGAAAUCUUCUUGAUGAUUUACGUGAGAAAUGGCUUGAAAUUGAAGCUGCUGAGCUUGACAAGAGAGAUGAGAGUGCUUUGCAAUUUGACAAGCGCCUAGAAAUGCUUAUGCUUGUUGCAGAGCAAGAAAAAUCAUCAGAGAAUGCUGAUCCAGAUGGUAUUAAUAACUCACAACCUUGGCUAUCUCCUCAAUCACCACUCUAAUUUCAGGUGAACAAAAAGAAUUGUAGAUUUCUGAUCAUUUUUUCUUUACUGAUAAAUUAAAAAAAAAAGAUAUUAUUGUAUAGAUUUUGUAUGUCAUCAUGGUUGUAAUUUAUAGGUAGCUGAAUGCUGAGUUAGGUUGCUUGGAGUGCUUAAGUUGGGUUUUUGUAACUUUAGUUACUCGAGCAUUCAUUGAUUCUUAAAUUUCUUUUCAAUAAUUUCUACAUAAUCUUGACAUUGUGAUUACUACCUGAAUGUGGGCUUGACAACUCAAGCCCAUGAGAAGAGCAAAGUUGAAAUAUCUAUAAAAUAUCUUAGAAUAUUAUUUCUGUAUCUUAGAAUAUUUAGAUUAUCUUUAAUGAUCUCUUAGGAGUGGUUUCCAUAUAUCAUUAUGCUUCCUGAUUAGUUUACUUAUUUGAUUAUGAUAAGGCUUAGGAUUCCAAAAAUUAAUAUAAUGUUUUAUACUUUUUACCGCAUUAUAUCACAUCUAGCCACAGCACUAUACAUAAGAGAAUGUUAUUUAGUGUCUUUAUUCUCUCUUUUUGUCCUCCUAAUAAUUUCGACAUGGUAUUAGAGGUAUCAUCUUCCAUGACCUGUUUUUUAACUAUUCAAGUUGUUCAGAUCCAUAAAAGCUCGAGCUUCACUUUAUCAAUAUUAUAUUCUAUUAUUGUCUUGAAGUUUGUUAUCUCUUUAUUCAUUCCCUACCUAAAUUCCUAUAACUAUAAGUUCAACAUAGUAUCAAAGCAAUACUAUCCACUGUGACUUGUCCCCUAUCAGCUGUUCAGGUCCAUAGAAUCUAGAAUUCUACCAUAGUCCAUAACAAUGUUUCUAUUUACGUGAGUAAAUUCCAAUUGCUGAAACCCUGUGCUAAUGUCACAUUCUCUCUCCUCUUGUUUCUCAUUUUCCUAUUACUGGGUGUUGUCUACCCACGUCUACACGUUGUUUCACCUCAUAGCCACCCCCAUUAAUAUUGGAUACUGACAUCAUAAUAUUGAUAACUUAAUAUCGUUAAUUACAAUUGCAUAAUAUGACGAAAAAUUGAGUGAAUAGUGAAUGAAAGAUAGUGAGUGAAAAUAUGAAUUGUGGAGUUGUCAAAAGAAUACUGAGAAUUUGCUUCCGUGAUAGAAGUGUAGAUAUUCAAAAAGCUAAAAUAUCAUUUCUUAAAAUUUACAUCUUUUAUUUUAAUUGUUUUCAAUGAAUAAAACCUCUCAUUUUUCUUUUUUAAAAAAGAAGCGGAACAAACAAAUUAUAUUUUAAAAGAGAACUUGCUGAAUGGCAAUCCGGGUUGAAAGUUGAAAAUUAGUACCCAUGAUCAUGUGGACUGGUUAGGAAUGACUAGUAUCAGUUUAUUCCUUGCCUACCUCUCACUUCAUAAUUGAGUUUAUUACAAAAAUAUAUAGAAGACCAAACAAGAAAAGCUGAUUUCCCAACCUAUAUGGUUGACGUAAUGGUUCAGUAUUCCAUCAUUUAAGGGGCUUUGAUUCCAAACUCUUGUGAAUGGAAAAACUCAUUGGUCAGCCCCUACCACUUAGUGCGCUGACCGUGAGAGAAAGAUUAACCUCACAGCCACCAGCUGUGGGGAUACCUUAGUCAAGACAAAAAAAUAUAUAUAAUAUAUUUUUUGAGAUUUUAAAAAUAAAAUUGUCUAGUAAGAAUUUUCCUUAAGGAAACAGUCCUUGUUGGGCUAAUUGAUAUGUCAGAAAUCAUAUAUAACAAAGUAAAAGAAAAAAAAAGAUAGUUAGAGAUAAUUCAAAUGAAGGGUAACAACGGAUAUGAUCUAAUGUCCAAUGUUUACUGUUUCUUUCAAAAUAAGGGAAGAGGCAAUGUCUUUGAAAGGUGAAAUUAUGAUUCAACUCAAAUGAAAAAGGUUAGAUGAAGAAAUACAAACUCAUAUCAUCAUACCAAUAUUGACAAGCUAGCAUAAAUAUGUACAUGAAAGCAUCAGACACAAUAGACAGCUCAAACAGAAGGACUAGAUCUGAGAACCCUCUCAAGCUUCUCAGCUUUAGUGUAAUCCUUAUCAGUAAGAGGUCCAGCAGGAAAAGGUGUGAUUUCCACAGUGAGAUGAGGAGUUGGGAGCUCAUCGAAAAGAGCUCUCACGUUAUUGCAACACACACUUUCUCCAUGAGCACUUUCCCUCCGGAUUUGGCAACCCUACAAUGGAUACUUAGCAGCAUAAAUGUCAACCAUUUCUUGCAUCAAACUAAAUCAAAUCAUGGGGAAAAAAAGAAUAAAAGAAAAUAUCAUCAAAUCAUGGAGAAAAAAGACUAAAGUGGUCUCAAAUUAUGGGGAAAGAGCAUAAAUUAAAGCUCCAGCUAUGUGCAGGGUCCGGGGAAGGGGUCCAACCACUUGAUCUAUUGUACACAGCCAUAUCCUGUUUUUAACAUAACAGGUUGUUUCCAAAACUUGAACCCCAUGACCUCAGUCACAUAGAAACAACUUUUACCGUUGCGCCAAGGCUCCCCUGGAAAAGAGCAUAAAUGAAAUAAAAAAACAGAUAUUUGAAAGGAAAAACGCAAACCUUGUGAGAGGUAGCAUCAACAAAGUGGUCAUCAUCUGACAGUAGAGAUGCAAUGGCUUUAAGAAGACGUCGCCCCUCAGACUUGGAUCGGACUCUGUAGUUCCUUCUAAGUGUACCCUUUGUUGUAGGAUGCCAUUUGCUCACAAAUUUACCUCCAUUAGCUACCUCCUUUGCUGCCCAAGUAAAACAAACAGAAAUAAACAAUAGACAUUGUAACAAACAAAACACAUUGACAUUACCUUCAUAUUUUAGGGUAUCUUAGAUGGCACAUUAGUUUCUAUAUCUCCCAAUACCUCAUGUUUUGUCACUGUAUUUAAUCAAGAGGCUAGUACAAGUAUCAAUGAUUUUAUCCUGUCUUUUAGUGUAAAAGGAACAAAUGUUCAGAAUUUAUUAAAAAUCUUCAAAUUUUCCAUUGCCUCUUAACAGCCUUUGAAAUCAAUCCAAUCUAAGCAGAAAAACUAUUUAUGGCAGUGCAGCCAACACAGAAACCUUGCCCUUCCUCUUAAAAAGCCUUCAUCACUAAUUUGAAGGUUGCCACAGAUCUGGACAAUGGAGGUUUACCUCUUAGCAUCUUCUCCUAUACUCCCACCCUUAUCUCCACCAAGCUUGGCAGCGAAUCAAUUCAUAACACUAAGUCAGCCCCAUCUAAAUUAAAAGAAGAACUCUGUUGAAUUUCCAUACUUGAUGCAAAUCUAUUCCUUGGCAAACUCCCAUACUUUUUAACUUACUCCUAUCUCCAACUUCAAAAUAAUAGGCAGGAGUUUCCAAUAUAGGCUACAGUCAAUUAUUGCACCAAAUCAGCAGCUUCAGAGUUGCUUGAAGCCCCACAAUCAAGCAAUACCACUGAUAGUCAUUUUCCAUUGCACCCCACAAUUUAAGGAUCUUCUAACUUUCAGUUUGCCAGGAACCAUAUAUUAAACACCUGAAACUGAUAGUCUUUAUUUAUCGAAUCAAGCCAGAUUAAUGACUACUACAGCCAAGAAAUCAUUGCAGGCAACCAAGCAUCUCUACCUAAACCACAUACCUGACUCCUCGCUCCCCCACACUCUCUCGCGCCUAAAACCUCCCGGAAUUUACGCCACUACCAACUAGCUCUUCCAACCCAUGCAGAUUAUGCACUGACUCGAGCAAAUAAAGUUUUAAUCUUGUCAGAUUAUAUCUGAUUUGAGUAUCUUCAAGAAGGGAUCACAGACCAUGCCAUCCACCAUUACCACUCACUCAGAUGACCAACAAAUAUGUAUAUAUAGCAUAUUCCAGCUCCACUGCGAAGCAUAAUUGACCGACUGAAGAAGCAUUAUGGAGCAAAUUUAAUUUGUAGCAUACGAGGGGAAUAGACUAAUGGAUACAGAAACAGACAAAAACACAUACUUUACUAAACAAGUUAGAAGAAAAACAUAAUUGGCAAACCUGGUUUUCCUAGUAUGGCCUGGGUCCAUUUAGAGAAGCCCAAGUCAGCAGAUUCAGCUAUGCCACCAUCACCAACUUCCAAAUCUGAAGCAAAGCACUAACUUGAAAAAAUGCAAACUAAAAUAAAUCUUCAUUACAUUUACACAACACAAAGCAAGAGUGGAAAUGCAAACUAACCUGAGACAAGUGGGUUAGCUGGAGAUCCAGCCAAGCCAGCUUUGAGGAGAGCAUAGAAGAUGCAGAGCCUGCCAGCCCAGAGAACAGGAGCUUCAAGCAAAGAGGCACGGGUGCGUGUUGUGCGCAGUGAAGUUGUACUACUGGUAAAGGUUGGUGGUGGUGUGGUUCUGAAAGGAGGGAAAAGGGUUCUGGGGAAGAUCGUUGAGGUUGAAGAAGAAUCGAAGUUGAAAAGGGUGGUGGUGGUGGUGGAUUGGUGAACGCAACAAGUGAAUUGAACUAGAGAAAAUAGAGGCAUUUCUUGUGGAGACGGUGACAACAACAACGGUGGAUUGGCUUGGCUUGUAUUGUGGGAAAGAUGACAUGACAGAGCACUUCUUUCUUAUCUUGUAGAUACUAGAAUACUUACUUAUAAUAUUUAUUUUAUUAUUUAUUUAUCAUAAAUAAUUUCAUUUCCAUUAAAAGUUACAUAUCAUUUUCAUUUAUAUAUUUUUUUAGGUCAAAGGUUGAUCAUUUGCAAAUGGGCAUAGCUCAAUACAUACAAACAAUAAGAAAAAAGGAAUAGAAUAAAAAAAAAGGCAUGCCAACAAGACACAAGAUAUGCAUGUCAAGAACAUUUUCACGCGAACGGAUGACUCAUUUAAACAAAAAGAGUUAAAAAAAUGAUUAAACACUUGAAUGGCUGGCCCAUUUAAAGUGGAUUUAAAAUUGAAACUCUAAAACCUAACUACUCAUCAUCAUGUUGCCUUGAAGCGCCGCACAACACCUCUCUGCCUUCAACCUUUUCCUUUUCGUCUAGCUUGCUACAGAUAGUUUUUGCAGACCAUUUCUAUGGCGUCUACAAACAUCCUUGUCCUCUGCUUUCAUGGUUCCAUAUUCAAAACACUAAUAUAUCGCUGAUAUAGGCAAAAUUACAGAAAAGGCCAAGGUACUCUACCCACAUUUGAUACAUCAGAGAAGGUUUUUUUUCUUCCCAAAACUUGGGCAAUGGCCCAGGCUAGUCAGGCGGUGAAUCUGCCCCUGACCAUACUAUUAGCCUUUUUUCAAUCCCAAUAAACAAUAACCAUAGGUUAAAGUGCUCAACAACAAACUAUAAUCAUUACGAACUACCAAAAUUUAAAUCAAAUAUAACACACAACAAAAGUUUAAAUCUAACAACACAACAAGCGUCAUAAGAAAUAAUCAUGAUUAAGAGGAAAAUUAUAUCCAUCAAACGGUGAUGUGCUGGCAUUUGCACUACUUCCAACAACAUGAUCAACCCAAAUUCAAAGAUCAAUUGAAUCCAACACAAGGUGCUAUGAAAUGUCAACUUGUGGAAAAUUAAACAAAAUUUCACCUCUUAAAUAAAACAACAAAAAUCAAAACAAAUUUAAUAACAAUAAUUAUUAACAUGAAACUUCUCUUGAUCCACCAAUUAUCAAAAUUCCAUUUUAUUGAUAAAUGUCGGUUUCACGCCCAAUCUGAUUAGUAUCAACUCUAGAAUGUCGAUCUUUCUCAACUACUUAAAAAUCAACA